RNAcentral lists this ribosomal RNA (301 nucleotides) under uncultured bacterium. Its description in RNAcentral is "partial 16S ribosomal RNA". It matches the Rfam family "Bacterial small subunit ribosomal RNA", at positions 509 to 807 of the family's 1533-position model. The record is from RNAcentral.
CAGCCGCCGCGGUAAUACGGAGGGUGCAAGCGUUAAUCGGAAUUACUGGGCGUAAAGCGUGCGUAGGCGGUUCGUUAAGUCUGUUGUGAAAGCCCCGGGCUCAACCUGGGAACUGCAUUUGUGACUGCAUGGCUAGAGUACGGUGGAGGGGGAUGGAAUUCCGCGUGUAGCAGUGAAAUGCGUAGAUAUGCGGAGGAACACCGAUGGCGAAGGCAAUCCCCUGGACCUGUACUGACGCUCAUGCACGAAAGCGUGGGGAGCAAACAGGAUUAGAUACCCGUGUAGUCCCUGUCUCUUAUAC